GGGGAUGUGGCGGAAUCGGUAUACGCGCUAGUUUGAGGGACUAGUGGGGCAACCCUUGAGAGUUCGAGUCUCUCCAUCCCCA
This 82-nucleotide transfer RNA is filed under the name Acidobacteria bacterium 13_1_20CM_3_53_8. RNAcentral's name for it is "tRNA-Leu". It matches the Rfam family "tRNA". From Rfam's summary of the family: Transfer RNA (tRNA) molecules are approximately 80 nucleotides in length. Their secondary structure includes four short double-helical elements and three loops (D, anti-codon, and T loops). Further hydrogen bonds mediate the characteristic L-shaped molecular structure. tRNAs have two regions of fundamental functional importance: the anti-codon, which is responsible for specific mRNA codon recognition, and the 3' end, to which the tRNAs corresponding amino acid is attached (by aminoacyl-tRNA synthetases). tRNAs cope with the degeneracy of the genetic code in two manners: having more than one tRNA (with a specific anti-codon) for a particular amino acid; and 'wobble' base-pairing, i.e. permitting non-standard base-pairing at the 3rd anti-codon position. The record is from RNAcentral. Lineage: Bacteria; Pseudomonadati; Acidobacteriota.